RNAcentral lists this unclassified non-coding RNA (1893 nucleotides) under Octopus sinensis (East Asian common octopus). RNAcentral's name for it is "vascular endothelial growth factor D, transcript variant X1". The record is from RNAcentral. Lineage: Eukaryota; Metazoa; Mollusca; Cephalopoda; Octopoda; Octopodidae.
GCUUAAGGGUAUCAUGACUCAAAAUAUUCCAACGUGACAUCCUUAUGUGGGCGGAUUGAGGCAGCAUCGCUUGGUCAGAGGGCGAGAGAUCUUAUAUAAAACAUAGAUAACAAUCAACCGUAUACUCUCACUUUGAAAAAGUUAACUCGAAGAAUACUUCCUAGUUCAGUCUACAAACACUUCAUUUCACGCCGCUCUUCGAGAGAGAGAGAGAAAUAUCAAAGAAACAACAGAAAGAAAAAAAGAGAAAGCAGUAAGAAAAAUCUCUGCCGACUAAACUUUUUCACUAAAUCGCGACUAACUUAAACCAAUGAAAGCGUAAAUUGCUAUCACGUGACAAGAGAUUAGUGUAAAUAUUCAAUUUCCAUUUGACAACUUUUUCUAUACCAUUUAACUGUUACUACGUGAGAAGUGUGUAUACCCACCUUGCGACUCUUAUCAAUAAGUUAACUGCAAUACACACACAAACGCACACGCGAUGGGCCUAAAGUUAUUUUUUCUGCUUCUAUCGCUUACUGGAACGAUCACAUUGUCAAAGACGCAGGUUCCAGAAAGGGAACGACAAAAAGUAAACAAAUUGACAUCACUGAAAGACUUGCAGGAGUUUUUACAUGUAAACGAUGGCGAUUUCCAAUAUGCCAGUACAAAUGAAAUUGUCAAUGCUGAUUUUUGCUCACCCCGGUUGACUACAAUAGAGAUUCCUCAACCAACAGAAUACAACAAGUAUUAUUGGCCAAAAUGUACCCGAGUAAAAAGAUGUGGAGGUUGUUCUGAACACGAGUCACUUGCCUGUGUUCCCACUGCUAAAGGAAAAGUUUUUAAAAAAGUACAAGUUGUGCGGUUAAAUUAUGACUAUUACGGAGCUCCAAGCAUGACUUUGGACAGAGUAGUUGGUAUCGAUCUUGAAACACAUACAGAUUGUGAACAAGUUUGCAAAGUGACAGAAGAUGAUUGCGAUGACAAAAUACAUAUCUACAGUUCUGCAGAUUGCUCCUGUCGCUGCAAACCGUCUUUAAAUACCAGAUGUACACAUCCUAAGACCUGGAACAAGAAGACUUGUCGCUGCACAUGUCCAAAAUUAAAAGCUUGUGGACAUGGUCUGUACUUUAAUAAAAUUCUUUGCACAUGCCAACAUUACCGAGGCUAUGAUGGAACUAACUUUGCAUCUGCUAAUGCCAGUUUUGUGAAGCAAAGCGAAAUUUCAAAAUCAGGGAGCAACCAGCUUGAUUCUAACAGGAUAAACAGUGAUGGUAAACCCCAGACCGAACGUGCUAAAACUGAUGCUGCUAUUACCAAUGGCCAGUCAACCGAUGAUCUUGAUAAAGGAAGUUUCCUGAUGGAGAUUCUAUCCACCGAAGGUCUUAAAACAACGACGAUGCCAACGACAAUAGAGACGACCACUGAAAAGAAAACAACUCCGAAGAUUACGAAACCUUCAAAAACGGCUAAUAUUUGUGCUUCAAAGAAAUGUCCUCCCAGGUGGAUGCCUGUUUUGCAAAGGAAUGGUCUCUGUGGCUGUAAACCUAACUUUGGUUAAAGACAAUUGAGCUAUAUCGAUGUGAGAAUUUAUUAUAUAAGUAGACACCAAACAUCAUACAUUUAUAUAUAUAUAUAUAUAUAUAUAUACAUAUAUAUAUAUUUGUAUAUCUAUGUUUGAAGGAGGGCAAAGUAUUUACUCAUUACAGAGAAGAGUAAUAUUUCAUCUCUGUAACUGUUAUAGAGUAUUUUCUCUUCCCCUUUUAGAAUAGGAAGAGAUGCACAAAUAUAUUUUUUUUAACCUUUGUUAGAAAGGGAUCAGUUAUAUUUCUCCAUCUUAAAUAAUAAUUAUAAUAUUUUAUUCCAAAACUGAAAGGGAGGAACAAUCUAUUGUACAUAUAUACACACAUUAUAUAU